Nicotiana sylvestris (wood tobacco) is the source of this 104-nucleotide non-coding RNA. The record is from Rfam. NCBI's taxonomy places the organism in Eukaryota, Viridiplantae, Streptophyta, Magnoliopsida, Solanales, Solanaceae.
UCCCCCCGCCUUCGGAUACAUUUGAAAUUGGAAUGAUAAAGAGAGAUUAGCAUGGUACCUACGCAAGGAUGACAUACACAAAUUGAGAAAUGGUCCCCUUCUUC